This 108-nucleotide small RNA is filed under the name Brevundimonas lenta. RNAcentral describes it as "sRNA Atu_At1". It matches the Rfam family "Rhizobiales sRNA Atu_At1". The record is from RNAcentral. Lineage: Bacteria; Pseudomonadati; Pseudomonadota; Alphaproteobacteria; Caulobacterales; Caulobacteraceae.
UCGGGAGCCGUGUCAACCGGACGAGACAGGGAUGGCGAAUGCAGGGAUUUUUCCGGUUUCUCCCUGCAGCCGACGAAUUGGCAGGCGAGCGCCCCACCUGUCCGGCUC